RNAcentral lists this ribosomal RNA (411 nucleotides) under uncultured bacterium. Its description in RNAcentral is "bacterial SSU rRNA". It matches the Rfam family "Bacterial small subunit ribosomal RNA", at positions 28 to 437 of the family's 1533-position model. The record is from RNAcentral.
GACGAACGUUGGCGGCGUGCUUAAUACAUGCAAGUCAACUGAAGCAGAGGUAGUAAUAUCUCUGUGGAGGUGGCGCACGGGUGAGUAACACGUAGGUAAUCUGCCUUCAGGUCUGACAUAACCCCGAGAAAUCGGGGCUAAUAGCAGAUGAUGCAGCGGCUUGACAUCAAGACAGUUGUUAAAGCUUCGGCGCCUGAAGAUGAGCCUGCGCUGAUUAGCUAGUUGGCGGAGUAACAGCCCACCAAGGCUACGAUCAGUAGCUGGUCUGAGAGGACGACCAGCCACACUGGGGACUGAGACACGGCCCAGACUCCUACGGGAGGCAGCAGUGGGGAAUAUUGGACAAUGGCGCAAGCCUGAUCCAGCGAUGCCGCGUGUGUGAAGAAGGCCUGCGGGUUGUAAAGCACUUUC